RNAcentral lists this ribosomal RNA (494 nucleotides) under uncultured bacterium. RNAcentral describes it as "partial 16S ribosomal RNA". It matches the Rfam family "Bacterial small subunit ribosomal RNA", at positions 28 to 507 of the family's 1533-position model. The record is from RNAcentral.
GACGAACGCUGGCGGCGUGCCUAAUACAUGCAAGUAGAACGCUGAAGGAGGAGCUUGCUUCUCUGGAUGAGUUGCGAACGGGUGAGUAACGCGUAGGUAACCUGCCUGGUAGCGGGGGAUAACUAUUGGAAACGAUAGCUAAUACCGCAUAAGAGUAGAUGUUGCAUGACAUUUACUUAAAAGGUGCAAUUGCAUCACUACCAGAUGGACCUGCGUUGUAUUAGCUAGUUGGUGAGGUAACGGCUCACCAAGGCAACGAUACAUAGCCGACCUGAGAGGGUGAUCGGCCACACUGGGACUGAGACACGGCCCAGACUCCUACGGGAGGCAGCAGUAGGGAAUCUUCGGCAAUGGACGGAAGUCUGACCGAGCAACGCCGCGUGAGUGAAGAAGGUUUUCGGAUCGUAAAGCUCUGUUGUAGAGAAGAACGAGUGUGAGAGUGGAAAGUUCACACUGUGACGGUAUCUUACCAGAAAGGGACGGCUAACUACGUG